UAGAUGCUUUCCUUGAAUGCCUGUGUCAUG
RNAcentral lists this non-coding RNA (30 nucleotides) under Rattus norvegicus (Norway rat). Lineage: Eukaryota; Metazoa; Chordata; Mammalia; Rodentia; Muridae. The record is from RNAcentral.